Molecule: small RNA, 3103 nt
Filed under: Pan troglodytes (chimpanzee)
Lineage: Eukaryota; Metazoa; Chordata; Mammalia; Primates; Hominidae
Description: retained intron
Source: RNAcentral
GUAUUGGGAAGGCAGAUAAAAUGCCAGGUCUGGACUGCCUCUGGGCAUAACCUCACCCUGUGGGAUGUGAAUGAAUAGCAUCUUGCCUGGUAAAUCCACAGGAAUUGAUAAGGCAGGCGCAGUUCUCCCAAACAGGCCUUUUCUCUUUAAGCUGUAGCUGUGGUUUCUGCAGCAAUUUUGUUUUUGCCUUGAAAGAGGUGCUCUGGAUUAUCAGACCUCCAUGUAUGACAAUUUGUACCUGCAUGGAAUUGAAGACUCGGAGGCUGGUUCAGCGGAUUCCUACACAAGCAGGCCGUCUGACUCCGAUGUCUCUUUGGAAGAGGACCGGGAAGCAAUUCGACAGGAGAGAGAACAGCAAGCAGCUAUCCAGCUUGAGAGAGCAAAGUCCAAACCUGUAGCAUUUGCCGUGAAGACAAAUGUGAGCUACUGCGGCGCCCUGGAUGAGGAUGUGCCUGUUCCAAGCACAGCUAUCUCCUUUGAUGCUAAAGACUUUCUACAUAUUAAAGAGAAAUAUAACAAUGAUUGGUGGAUAGGAAGGCUGGUGAAAGAGGGCUGUGAAAUUGGCUUCAUUCCAAGUCCACUCAGAUUGGAGAACAUACGGAUUCAGCAAGAACAAAAAAGAGGACGUUUUCACGGAGGGAAAUCAAGUGGAAAUUCUUCUUCAAGUCUUGGAGAAAUGGUAUCUGGGACAUUUCGAGCAACUCCCACGUCAACAGCAAAACAGAAGCAAAAAGUGACGGAGCACAUUCCUCCUUACGAUGUUGUGCCGUCAAUGCGUCCGGUGGUGUUAGUGGGGCCGUCACUGAAAGGUUACGAGGUACAAAUAUCAUCUGUUACUCUUCAGUUCUUGAUCGAGCACCCAGGAGACAGUCAUGUUGACGCUUGCUCCUCAAGGGUCUGUUUCCACGUGGGUCCUGAUGGAAGCCAGUGCUCAGCACGGGAAGGCAGGGGGUACCGUGUGGGGCUCAUGAGGCCCUCUGCCCUUUCUUUCCUCUGUUGCACACUUCUCAUCUUUUAUGUAUUACAUUGUUUAGAAAUACCUCCCUCAAAAUAUUUACAAUGGGAAGAUCUGGUCAAAGAUUUGCUGUACAUUAAAUGCAAAGAAAAGGACUUUAUCUAUCUUGACCAUUCUCAUUAUUAUUAGAAGUAAUAGAGAAUGAACAGCACAAGAGGACAAACAAUCAAUCUUCCAGCAAACCCAAACCUUUAAAGCCCAAACAGAGUUCACCCUGCUGGGUUUUUAAGAUGAUGGCAUAUGCCACCAAAUCCUUCUCUGCUUAUUUAUUUUAAAGGGCACAUGUUUUAAAAGACCACUAAAAACAUUAGUGAACUUUGGAGAUUAAACAAAACCAUGUGACAAGGAAAAGAGUAGAGACUUCGUUUCAGAUGUUUGUUUUGACUUUGUGCUAGCUUGGAUUAAAAAAUAGGUAGACGUGACAUUAAACUCUGAAGGUGAGCAGCCUCCAGGGCACCAUUCCCAUCGAGCUAGGACAAUGUGUGGCACAUAGUAGGCACUCAGUACACAUUUGCUGAAUGAAUUAAUGAAUCGCUUUCAGGCAGAUCUAAGAAUCCUGGCUCUAUCCGCCUCUCUUUCUCUCUUGUCUUUCUCAGAGUUGGGAAUGUCAGAGGGAUGAGCAGGAGAGUGGUCUACAAAAAUCCAGCCAUGGGCAUGGAGAAUUUCUGCCAACAUACACAAACUAGCAGGAAGGCUGAGUCCAGUGCUGGCCUCAGUUCUCUAGCUGCUCCUCACUGGAGGCAGGCACAACUCAGGCGUGCCAAGGAUACCCGGCACCUGUGUACAAAGCCAGCCUGUUGUCUCCUGGCAGCAGUUCUAUCCCCUAACGAGGGAAGAGGGAAGAGGGAAGAGGGUCUGGUGAACACUGCUGGUUUAUUCCUCAACACCCUGGAGGAGAACCAAGGGGGGUGGAAAUUAGCAAUUGCACAUGGUUAAGCAUGAAAAACACCUUCCAUGGUAACCUCCCCCUAGGAGACGAAUGGCUACAAUAAGGUCUUGGCUCAUAGUGCCCUUCCCUCCCUCCUCUCUCCCUUUUGACUUCUCUCUCUCUCUCUCUGUGUGUUUGCCUCAUUCUUUUUUUCUCACCUCUGCAAAGGUAACAGACAUGAUGCAGAAAGCCCUCUUUGAUUUCCUGAAGCACAGGUUUGAUGGGAGGAUAUCAAUAACGAGAGUGACAGCUGACAUUUCUCUUGCUAAGAGGUCUGUCCUAAAUAAUCCCAGCAAGAGAGCAAUAAUUGAACGUUCGAACACCCGGUCCAGCUUAGCGGAAGUACAAAGUGAAAUUGAAAGAAUCUUUGAGUUGGCAAGAUCUUUGCAACUGGUCGUUCUUGAUGCAGACACCAUCAAUCACCCAGCACAACUUAUAAAGACUUCCUUAGCACCAAUUAUUGUUCAUGUAAAAGUCUCAUCUCCAAAGGUUUUACAGCGGUUGAUUAAAUCUAGAGGAAAGUCACAAAGUAAACACUUGAAUGUUCAACUGGUGGCAGCUGAUAAACUUGCACAAUGCCCCCCAGAAAUGUUUGAUGUUAUAUUGGAUGAAAAUCAGCUUGAGGAUGCGUGUGAACAUCUAGGGGAGUACCUGGAGGCGUACUGGCGUGCCACCCACACAACCAGUAGCACACCCAUGACCCCGCUGCUGGGAAGGAAUUUGGGCUCCACGGCACUCUCACCAUAUCCCACAGCAAUUUCUGGGUUACAGAGUCAGCGAAUGAGGCACAGCAACCACUCCACAGAGAACUCUCCAAUUGAAAGACGAAGUCUAAUGACCUCUGAUGAAAAUUAUCACAAUGAAAGGGCUCGGAAGAGUAGGAACCGCUUGUCUUCCAGUUCUCAGCAUAGCCGAGAUCAUUACCCUCUUGUGGAAGAAGAUUACCCUGACUCAUACCAGGACACUUACAAACCCCAUAGGAACCGAGGAUCACCUGGGGGAUAUAGCCAUGACUCCCGACAUAGGCUUUGAGUCUAAUGAAACAAAAAAUAUUCAUCUGUUGACAAUUUGCCAUAGCAGUGCUAGGAUAAACCAAUCAUCUUAACUUGGCUAACAUAGCACAGUAUUUACUGUGCUAAUGGGCUGCUGUCAUUUUAUGC